RNAcentral lists this ribosomal RNA (497 nucleotides) under uncultured bacterium. RNAcentral describes it as "partial 16S ribosomal RNA". It matches the Rfam family "Bacterial small subunit ribosomal RNA", at positions 28 to 507 of the family's 1533-position model. The record is from RNAcentral.
GAUGAACGCUGGCGGCGUGCCUAAUACAUGCAAGUCGAGCGAACAGACGAGGAGCUUGCUCCUCUGACGUUAGCGGCGGACGGGUGAGUAACACGUGGAUAACCUACCUAUAAGACUGGGAUAACUUCGGGAAACCGGAGCUAAUACCGGAUAAUAUAUUGAACCGCAUGGUUCAAUAGUGAAAGACGGUUUUGCUGUCACUUAUAGAUGGAUCCGCGCCGCAUUAGCUAGUUGGUAAGGUAACGGCUUACCAAGGCAACGAUGCGUAGCCGACCUGAGAGGGUGAUCGGCCACACUGGAACUGAGACACGGUCCAGACUCCUACGGGAGGCAGCAGUAGGGAAUCUUCCGCAAUGGGCGAAAGCCUGACGGAGCAACGCCGCGUGAGUGAUGAAGGUCUUCGGAGCGUAAAACUCUGUUAUUAGGGAAGAACAAAUGUGUAAGUAACUAUGCACGUCUUGACGGUACCUAAUCAGAAAGCAACGGCUAACUACGUG